GACGAACGCUGGCGGCGUGCUUAACACAUGCAAGUCGAGCGGUAAGGCCCUUUCGGGGGUACACGAGCGGCGAACGGGGAGUAACACGUGGGUGACCUGCCCUCAGCUCUGGGAUAAGCCUGGGAAACCGGGUCUAAUACCGGAUAUGACUCCAUGACGCAUGUUGUGGGGUGGAAAGCCUUGUGCGGCUGAGGAUGGGCCCGCGGCCUAUCAGCUUGUUGGUGGGGUGAUGGCCACCAAGGCGACGACGGGUAGCCGGCCUGAGAGGGCGACCGGCCACACUGGGACUGAGACACGGCCCAGACUCCUACGGGAGGCAGCAGUGGGGAAUCUUGCGCAAUGGGCGAAAGCCUGACGCAGCGACGCCGCGUGAGGUAUGACGGCCUGG
RNAcentral lists this ribosomal RNA (388 nucleotides) under uncultured bacterium. RNAcentral's name for it is "bacterial SSU rRNA". It matches the Rfam family "Bacterial small subunit ribosomal RNA", at positions 28 to 419 of the family's 1533-position model. The record is from RNAcentral.